AAACUGAAGAGUUUGAUCAUGGCUCAGAUUGAACGCUGGCGGCAGGCUUAACACAUGCAAGUCGAGCGGGUGUUGGUUCUUCGCUCCUAGUGUUAGCGGCGGACGGGUGAGUAAUGCUUAGGAAUCUGCCAUUUAGUGGGGGACAACAUUCCGAAAGGGAUGCUAAUACCGCAUACGCCCUACGGGGGAAAGCAGGGGAUCUUCGGACCUUGCGCUAAAUGAUGAGCCUAAGUCGGAUUAGCUAGUUGGUGGGGUAAAGGCCUACCAAGGCGACGAUCUGUAGCGGGUCUGAGAGGAUGAUCCGCCACACUGGGACUGAGACACGGCCCAGACUCCUACGGGAGGCAGCAGUGGGGAAUAUUGGACAAUGGGCG
Molecule: non-coding RNA, 374 nt
Filed under: Acinetobacter sp. CIP 102637
Lineage: Bacteria; Pseudomonadati; Pseudomonadota; Gammaproteobacteria; Moraxellales; Moraxellaceae
Description: Bacterial small subunit ribosomal RNA
Rfam family: Bacterial small subunit ribosomal RNA
Source: Rfam by way of RNAcentral